RNAcentral lists this ribosomal RNA (460 nucleotides) under uncultured bacterium. Its description in RNAcentral is "partial 16S ribosomal RNA". It matches the Rfam family "Bacterial small subunit ribosomal RNA", at positions 338 to 795 of the family's 1533-position model. The record is from RNAcentral.
CCUACGGGAGGCAGCAGUGAGGAAUAUUGGUCAAUGGGCGCUAGCCUGAACCAGCCAAGUAGCGUGAAGGAUGACUGCCCUACGGGUUGUAAACUUCUUUUAUAUGGGAAUAAAGCGCAGUAUGUAUACUGCUUUGCAUGUACCUUAUGAAUAAGGACCGGCUAACUCCGUGCCAGCAGCCGCGGUAAUACGGAGGAUCCGAGCGUUAUCCGGAUUUAUUGGGUUUAAAGGGAGCGUAGGCGGGUUGUUAAGUCAGUUGUGAAAUUUUGCGGCUCAACCGGACAAUUGCAGUUGAUACUGGCAUCCUUGAGUACAGGAAAGGUAGGCGGAAUUCGUGGUGUAGCGGUGAAAUGCUUAGAUAUGACGAAGAACUCCGAUUGCGAAGGCAGCCUGCUGGAGUGUAACUGACGCUGAUGCUCGAAAGUGUGGGUAUCGAACAGGAUUAGAUACCCUUGUAGUC